Molecule: transfer RNA, 68 nt
Filed under: Marmota monax (woodchuck)
Lineage: Eukaryota; Metazoa; Chordata; Mammalia; Rodentia; Sciuridae
Description: tRNA.Gly
Source: RNAcentral
GGAUUGUAGCUCAGUGGUUGAGCGCUUGCCUCCCAUACGUGAGGAAUUGGGUUCGAUCCCCAGCACCA